UUCUUACUCCCUCCACUCCAAAUCACUCGUCACAGAAAUGGAUAUAUCUAGAUAUGUAUUUUAGUUCUAGAUACAUCCAUUUCUACGACGAGUAAUUUGGAAUGGAGGGAGUACCUC
Non-coding RNA from Triticum aestivum (bread wheat), 117 nucleotides. Lineage: Eukaryota; Viridiplantae; Streptophyta; Magnoliopsida; Poales; Poaceae. The record is from Rfam.